GGAAAAGAAGACACCCUGAUGCUAUUGUAGUGGUGGUGGAGGAGGAUUGUUUCAUAGAAAAGAGAAAAAAGGAGAAGCAGCCAACAAACAAACGGACAAACAUAGCCAACCAAUAAAUAGCCUCGUCUUUUCUCUCUCUCUUCUCGUUCCCCUUUAUCAUCCUCAGGGGCUUCCCUCACUUCUAGGGUUUCCAUGGUUCUCUAGGACCAGCACCAUUUCCCUUCCAAAGGGAUAACUCAAAAAGAUUUGAUCUUUCAAACAUUUCAUGGGCAUUGUUUGAGUUUCUUUCUUCACCCAUUAUCUGGAGCUUUUCCAAUUUCUCUGUGGAGGUUCCGGAGAUGGAGGAGGUCAAGAAACCUGAAACUCAUAUGACAUCAGCUGCAGCUUUUGUGGAAGGUGGAAUCCAGGAGGCCUGUGAUGAUGCAUGCAGCAUAUGCCUUGAAGCCUUCUGUGACAGUGAUCCUUCAACUGUAACCAGUUGCAAGCAUGAGUUCCAUCUUCAAUGCAUUCUUGAAUGGUAUAUUCAUAUAAUCAUGAAUUUUGGAAUUUCUCAUAGUUGUUUUAUCAUAGUCUUGAGCUCUGGGAAGAUCUGUUUAGGUUUAUAUACCACUGUGAAACCAAAAUUUAUGUUAAUAAGUUAUUGAAGUGGACAUUAAAUAGGUUUUCAUUUUAUUGUGUUUAUAUUUUGAGGAUUGACCUGGCUGUGUAACCUAAAAGUACAUUUUAUUGAUCUAUACACAUCACAUUGCAAUGUUGACUUUAGUUUGCUACAUGUGACAUAACUUUGCAUUGAAAAUUAUGUUGUUACAUCUUUAGUGCUUACUGUAAAGCUUGAGUUUGAUUACUUGGAAAAAAAUUAGGAAAUUUAACAGUUAUACUAUUUGGUGCAAUUAAUUUUAUAAAAUGACAAGCUACUGAUUUAAAUAAUUCAUUCAUCAGCAUGAUUGUAAGUUGUAACAAAACAAUAUAAGAUGGCUUUUUUAAGUAUCUAAGUUUGUGUAUAGGGAUGCUAAUUUUGAGCUCUCCUCAAUGUUUGAUGAAUGGAAGAUACAAGAGUACAUAUGUUUUCUCCUCUCAGCAAAUCAAGAUUCCAAUGAAAUUUGAAUAAUUUGUACCUAUAAUGGAGAUUGACCAGAUGAUUUAGCUCUCACAUAAUCUAAAUGUAUCCAUUGUGUCAUUGGUAAAUAUGGAUGUGUCUGCUUUGCUUAACACUGGCAUUACUUGGGCAAAAUUAGAUUUAGCAAGUGAUGGAUGUACAUUUUACAUCAAGGGUACUCUGCAUUUGAUGGAUUGACAGAAAAUGACAAAUUCAUUUUUUUUGUAAGUAUUAAUUACAUUGAUCUUUCCCCCCCCCUGAAGUUCCAAUACUUAUCAUAAUUUUAUCUGGUCAUAUUAGUAGCUUUCUUUUCCUUCUCUCCCCUUCUUUACCUUUCAGUUUCUCUAUACAAAUAGACAAGGAAAGGGUAACCAUCUUAACUUCCAUUCAUUUCCAAUCCUCUCCACCUCAUUUACUUCCCUUCCUUUCCCCUGCCCUCCAGUGUCCUGUAUAUAUUGAAUGUUGGAUGAUUUCAUAAAGAGAGGGAGAUACUUGGUAAACAGAUGCUCUCUACAAGAAACGAGAAUUAACAAGUUAUUUGCUCUGCUGUUGUGAUUGAUUGAAAUGUUUUUAGCAAUGGCAUAGGUUGUUCUUAUUUCCUCUAUAAAACAAUGCAUAUGAGCAUGAAAUGUCAUUCCCUUCUGUUUAUAGUAUGGAAGGAAAAGAUUCAAGAGCUUCAAAGUAUUGAAACCCCUAUUUUGUGUGAAAAGAAAGGUGGGUUCAUAAUCUUAUUUUUUGAUGACUGGAAAUUUUUGUGUCGAUCGUUUUGAUUUUACAAGUAUUGUGAAAUGUGUAUGGUCUUUUUGAAGCUCAUCUG
This 1913-nucleotide unclassified non-coding RNA is filed under the name Hevea brasiliensis (rubber tree). The record is from RNAcentral. Lineage: Eukaryota; Viridiplantae; Streptophyta; Magnoliopsida; Malpighiales; Euphorbiaceae.